CAAAAUCUAAAAAGGUCCUUGUUAUAAUUUUAGAGUAAAUGGUGUAUAUUUUUUAUUUUGAAAAAUUAAAAGGAUAUUUACAUCAAGAUCCCCCAUUAAAUAAAAUGAAAUCUUUCUUUUUAUCGACAGACAUUGAGCCCUAAUUGCAGACCUCGCAUUGCGUUGCAUUCCAGACUAUCGCCGACAUUUCCCGGUUGUUCCUAGCCAUCUAGUUUUCCACCUCUAUCGUCGUUUAAUUUUAGCUAUCUUGGAUUUUGGUUUGUUCCUCUAUAUCUCUAUUUUUAUUUUUUUUUAUACAUGUUAAAGGGCAAUGAGUAGAACGUAAUCGAACUUUUAUACUCCUAAGAUGAAAAUCCACAUGAACUCCCAUGUAGAUCCUUCAAUGCCAUUUUCCAUUUUUUUCAAGUUCUUAUUUUGAUUUGAUUUCAUCAUUUUUUCUUGGUUUUGAUUGCUAUUAUAAUUUUUUCUUGGUUUUAAUUGACUCACGAUGUAUAUUUUUUUCUCUCUAUUGUUUUAGCUGUCCAAUGUUUUCUCAUUUUUAUUUUAGCAUUAGUAUUCAGUAUAGGAAAUAGGGGGGUUUUUAAAUAAUUCUGAAUUUCUGAUACCCAGAGCCACAUCUUAUUUGUUUUAAACUGUGACGAAAAUUUCUCUGCACUCAAUUCAGAUUCCUAAUACCUGUUUAUGUGUUUAUAAAAUAUAUUGUAUACUUUUCAUUAAUAUUAGGUUUCAAUUUUGAUUUUCUUUUUGCAUUGAUUUUGUUUAAUGCAAUAACAUCAUCUUCAUUUUUUAACAUUAUAAAAUACUCUUUGUUCUGAAUUAUUUCCAAGCCAUAAUGUUAAGGAUCGUGUUCUUUU
This 854-nucleotide long non-coding RNA is filed under the name Zostera marina. Its description in RNAcentral is "long non-coding RNA (ZMAR_LNC001141)". Lineage: Eukaryota; Viridiplantae; Streptophyta; Magnoliopsida; Alismatales; Zosteraceae. The record is from RNAcentral.